RNAcentral lists this long non-coding RNA (1033 nucleotides) under Mastacembelus armatus (zig-zag eel). Its description in RNAcentral is "lncRNA (ENSMAMG00000019082.2)". The record is from RNAcentral. Lineage: Eukaryota; Metazoa; Chordata; Actinopteri; Synbranchiformes; Mastacembelidae.
AGGCGAGGCUGUGGAAGGAAAAGGAAAGGGACGCCUGUGAAAGUCUUUGUUACACACACUGAGGAGGAGAGUGUGCCUGAACAGAGCUUCAGCCCAGGUGAUCGUAAGGAAGCAGCAGAGAAUAAACGGCCCACACUGGAUGGACCUUUCUACAAUACAGAGCCAUCUUCUCAUCAGACCUGCAGCAGCCCAUCAGAGCAGGCUCAGUACAAAGUCUCCACUGGGUCCAAGACCAGAUCCUGCUCAGCUUCUACACCAGCUCCAGCUCCAGCUGCUUCUUCAGCCCCAACUGCAACACCGGUCCUUGCUCCUGCCCCGGCCACUGCGACUUCAGCUCGGGCCCCGUCUCUAACACCCGCGUCCACAGCUCCAGCUGCUCCAACACCCUCUGCUCCGGCCCCAACAGCCAGCUCCUUCCCUCCAUCCCCCAACUGCCGUAUCCGAGAGGUCCACUGUGGGAGCCAGGUGCGGCUGGUUGUUAUUGCCAUCCGAGACAUCACCAAGGGGGAGGAGAUCACUGUGGAUUACAGCCUGACAGAGUGGGGAGAGAACCUGGGUUUUCGUGGUACUGUAUCUCCAGCGCAACACGAGUGCCACUCUGACACUGAGAAUAACAAUAUCAAGAAGGAGGAUGAGCCUCUCUCUCUGACAGCCCAGCAACAGGAGUAUGUCACUCCCUCUUGGUCGCUGUCUCCCUCUUCCUCACCCAUCUCCCACUCUGACGGCAGUGAGUCAGACGGUGGGGAUGAAGACAACGCCAGCCCUCGCGGACGGGCACCACGCCGGCGUAAGAAACGUCGUGGCACCCCUUCAAAGAAAAAGAUUCCCCAUCGAACUCCACCUGGUCGACCACCGUCAGUCUCCCCGACCAAUGCUCCACAUCAUAUCCGCCCGCUUCCUUCGCCCCACGCUGCAGCGCAGGACACUCCUCCUUGCUCAUCUUCCUCCUCCUCUUCAACCAAGCCUGUGUUUAAAGCCCCGGCUCCACUGGGCUCCAACAGCACAAGCAACGGCAAUGCAAAUGGACCUCGAG